Molecule: ribosomal RNA, 629 nt
Filed under: uncultured Fusobacterium sp.
Lineage: Bacteria; Fusobacteriati; Fusobacteriota; Fusobacteriia; Fusobacteriales; Fusobacteriaceae
Description: bacterial SSU rRNA
Rfam family: Bacterial small subunit ribosomal RNA
Source: RNAcentral
GAUGAACGCUGACAGAAUGCUUAACACAUGCAAGUCUACUUGAAUUUGGGUUUUUAACUUAGGUUUGGGUGGCGGACGGGUGAGUAACGCGUAAAGAACUUGCCUCACAGCUAGGGACAACAUUUAGAAAUGAAUGCUAAUACCUAAUAUUAUGAUAAUAGGGCAUCCUAUAAUUAUGAAAGCUAUAUGCGCUGUGAGAGAGCUUUGCGUCCCAUUAGCUAGUUGGAGAGGUAACGGCUCACCAAGGCGAUGAUGGGUAGCCGGCCUGAGAGGGUGAUCGGCCACAAGGGGACUGAGACACGGCCCUUACUCCUACGGGAGGCAGCAGUGGGGAAUAUUGGACAAUGGACCGAGAGUCUGAUCCAGCAAUUCUGUGUGCACGAUGAAGUUUUUCGGAAUGUAAAGUGCUUUCAGUUGGGAAGAAAGAAAUGACGGUACCAACAAAAGAAGGACGGCUAAAUACGUGCCAGCAGCCGCGGUAAUACGUAUGUCACGAGGUUAUCCGGAUUUAUUGGCGUAAGCGCGUCUAGGUGGUAUAUAAAUCUGAUGUGAGAAAGGAGGGGCCACUCUGUAUUGCGUGGGAAAUAGAGUAGAAGAUGAGCGGAGAGGAGGCGGGAGGAGGGGGUUUU